This 92-nucleotide transfer RNA is filed under the name Rhodospirillaceae bacterium. RNAcentral describes it as "tRNA-Arg". Lineage: Bacteria; Pseudomonadati; Pseudomonadota; Alphaproteobacteria; Rhodospirillales; Rhodospirillaceae. RNAcentral also lists the same sequence under 1 other name. The record is from RNAcentral.
GCACCCGUAGCUCAGCUGGAUAGAGCGCUGCCCUCCGAAUGGGCAAAUAAAUCGGGAAAACUCCAUAUAUAUCAAUAGCUUGUUCGGGUGCU